Molecule: microRNA, 22 nt
Filed under: Python bivittatus (Burmese python)
Lineage: Eukaryota; Metazoa; Chordata; Lepidosauria; Squamata; Pythonidae
Description: pbv-miR-3064-3p
Source: miRBase by way of RNAcentral
UGCUGCACUGCAACACUUUACA